This 506-nucleotide ribosomal RNA is filed under the name uncultured bacterium. Its description in RNAcentral is "partial 16S ribosomal RNA". It matches the Rfam family "Bacterial small subunit ribosomal RNA", at positions 30 to 523 of the family's 1533-position model. The record is from RNAcentral.
AUUGAACGCUGGCGGCAGGCUUAGCACAUGCAAGUCGAGCGGUAACAGAGAGAAGCUUGCUUCUCUGCUGACGAGCGGCGGACGGGUGAGUAAUGCCUAGGAAUCUGCCUAGUAGUGGGGGAUAACUUGCCGAAAGGUAAGCUAAUACCGCAUACGUCCUACGGGAGAAAGGAGGGGACCUUCGGGCCUUUCGCUAUUAGAUGAGCCUAGGUCGGAUUAGUUAGUUGGUGAGGUAAUGGCUCACCAAGACCGCGAUCCGUAACUGGUCUGAGAGGAUGAUAAGUCACACUGGAACUGAGACACGGUCCAGACUCCUACGGGAGGCAGCAGUGGGGAAUAUUGGACAAUGGGGGGAACCCUGAUCCAGCCAUGCCGCGUGUGUGAAGAAGGUCUUGGGAUUGUAAAGCACUUUAAGUUGGGAGGAAGAGCAGUUAACUAAUAUUUGACUGUUUUGACGUUACCGACAGAAUAAGCACCGGCUAACUUCGUGCCAGCCGCCGCUGUAA